Molecule: long non-coding RNA, 2417 nt
Organism: Mirounga angustirostris (Northern elephant seal)
Lineage: Eukaryota; Metazoa; Chordata; Mammalia; Carnivora; Phocidae
Exons: 2
Source: RefSeq, a predicted model, not a curated record
GGAUGCUGUCGGACAGGACGCACUCUUCCCUGAUACUGAAGGGCGAGGCUGACGAGCAGAGGCGGGGCCCCACCCCCACCCCCACCCCGGAAUCGCAAGCGCACAGGAGGUUGAGAGUGAGGCUGCCGGUAGCUCGAUCACGACCCACGGCUGUGGAGGGAGUUCGCUGGCUCACCUGGGCCGAGGUGCGCACAGCAAAUCCACGGCACCUGUGUUGAGACCUAUGCCAUCUGAGACCUGGGAAGGAGUUCCAACACUAGUUUCGUGGCUUAAAAGGAUGUUUAUUAAGAUUUCGGGCUGCCAACGUGACGUCACUGCACCGCUGGGAGAGCCGCAGAAACCGAACGGACACGAGGGAGGGCAAUGACCCGGAGAGCAGAGAUAGAGUCAAACGAUAGUAAGAGAGGAACCGCGUACUUACCACCUUCGUUUUUAAUGUAAUGUAUUUAAUUGUAAGUUUGUAUCAUUAAAAUUUGAAGAAUGGCUGUAGCAGCUGGCUGCCCAAAUUCCUGAAGAUGUAGCGAGCCGCUGUGGCAAGCUGACCCCGGCCCAGCCCUCCCUGCUGCUCCCCGGCGCCUCCUCUUAUCACCGUGGGUCGGUUCUGCCUGUUAGCGCUUCACACAAAUGGGGCCCUGCGGCGUGGAGCCUUCUCUGUGGCUCCUUCCCCGGACACCUGAGAGGACCACAGGGACUUACCAGCGCUCGGCCGUCCCGCUGUCGGUGAACCCUCGGUGUGUGUCCAGCUUCGGCAACCAUGGACGUGGCUGGAUGUGCAGUCGCUCUGUGGUGCCUCGCUUCGGUCCUAGCCCGGCUUCGCUUCUGAGAACACACUGCGCCAGGACCGUUCUCUCUCCGGACGCACGCACGCCCCAAGCCUCUUCCCAACGGUAACGAUACACGACGGUUUCUCACAAAGUUCUCAUUUGUGUAAGAUGUUAUCUUGGGGUCUGAUUUUUACUAUCUUUCUGUUUAUAUUUUAAGUGGGCUCCAUGACCAGCGUGGAGCCCAUCGUGGGGCUCGAACUCAAGACCCUGAAAUCACGACCUGCGCCGAAAUCAAAAGAGUCGGAUGCUUAACCGACCGAGCCACCCAGGCGCCCCAAUCUUAAGGUCUUACUAGUGAGAAAUGGUUGUCUCAGUCAAAACCAAAACUGAAAAAACUGCGCAUUUCAGGAAGAUGCUCACUGGCCAGCAUAGCUCUCGAGACUUACCAUCCUCAUUCUUGCUUGUUAUUUGGCCAAAAUCCUCAGACGUCCUGUUACCGGUGCGGGAAGGCUUACCACUAGACUCGUACGGUGUCCGCGGGGUAACGUGAAGGACAGCCGUGUUCAUGCGUCUGCUACAGCCGUGGGCUCCUGCAGACCUGGGAAAGGCCAGUGACUGACACUCCAAGAGGUGACAAGCAACAGGCGCGUGGACUAGAGAACCUUGACCAAAGGUGCGUUGUGUGACAAGCACACAUUUCUCUGAGAGCCAAGUCCAGCAGAGGCACGCUUCUUCGUGCGAGGACUUAAUCAUUAAGCCGGCGGGCGCCACAGAGGGGGUUUCACCACGGCCGAUGUGCCCUGGGCCACGUGAUGCACGGAACACUGCGAGACGGGGCGCCCGUUCUGUGGAUGAAGACAUGGAGCUUCUUGCAGCCUAAAGCCCCCCCCACCCCCGCCGGACUUUGAAUCAAGUCUGACUCCGGCGUCCGGACAGACCACCUCUGCCUCGCGGCCCUCCGCUUUGCCCUCAGUACCCAGAACAAGCAAGACCUAAGAGACGACAUGCACACAGGGGCAGAAAGUCUCAUGUGGCCGAGUGCCGGCAGGAGGGACCCCAGCUGUCCAGGGUCUGCUUCGGGGGGUGCACGGGCGCAGCCACCCGGGGCAUCCCCCAGCUGAGCUGUUGGUGCCCAGGAGCGGGGCGAGGCUCCACGGGCCAGGGGCAGAGGGGAGUGGUCUUCCCGUCCCUGGGGCUGCAAACACUCGGAUGCAGGGAACUCGCUGAGGCUCGGUGAGGCCAGGAAGUCACGGGCAGCUCCCGUCAAUUCGCGCCUUCCCAGGAGUGGGCUACUGAGCACAACAGGAAAACGCGCACCUUCCCCAGCAGCGGCCCCUCAGGUCAGGCGCCCCCUGUCCAGGGAGCGCACGGGGGCUGCGUGUCCGGGCCAUCUGCCCAUCCACCCGUCUGUCCCCCAGGAGCCACUCCCAAGGACCACACGGAGCCCCGGGCUCAUUUCUGUAAUAUAUAAUUUUAUUUCUGGUUAUAGAAACAAAUGCUAAGAGGAGAAACCGAACUUCCCCAUCCACAUACAACAAUUUAAUAAAAGGACAGUUAAAUGAAAAACAAAAAGUAGAAAUUUUUAAACUUUGUUAUAGCUUUAAAACAUUAAUGUCUGAUACAAUUAGAAAUCACAUUCAGAUCUCAAACUUU